CAGACAACCAGUCCAGCGGUCCAAGGACAGACAAACAGAGAUGGACGUUCACCUGGACAUGGAUCACCUGCUGCUGCUGCUGCUGCUGUGGAGCUCAGGGCUCUGGGCUGAAGGAAACCACCAAUCAACAGACUCUGUCAGGCUGGUGAAUGGGACCAGUCUGUGUUCAGGCAGACUGGAGGUGAAGACUCAC
Long non-coding RNA from Lates calcarifer (barramundi perch), 193 nucleotides. RefSeq lists it as uncharacterized. The record is from RefSeq and is a predicted model, not a curated record. The transcript has 3 exons. Lineage: Eukaryota; Metazoa; Chordata; Actinopteri; Centropomidae.